GGGAAUUAGCUCAGUUGGUAGAGCGACAGGUUCGCAAUCUGUAGGUCACCGGUUCGACUCCGGCAUUCUCC
This 71-nucleotide transfer RNA is filed under the name uncultured Treponema sp. It matches the Rfam family "tRNA". Rfam says of the family: Transfer RNA (tRNA) molecules are approximately 80 nucleotides in length. Their secondary structure includes four short double-helical elements and three loops (D, anti-codon, and T loops). Further hydrogen bonds mediate the characteristic L-shaped molecular structure. tRNAs have two regions of fundamental functional importance: the anti-codon, which is responsible for specific mRNA codon recognition, and the 3' end, to which the tRNAs corresponding amino acid is attached (by aminoacyl-tRNA synthetases). tRNAs cope with the degeneracy of the genetic code in two manners: having more than one tRNA (with a specific anti-codon) for a particular amino acid; and 'wobble' base-pairing, i.e. permitting non-standard base-pairing at the 3rd anti-codon position. Lineage: Bacteria; Pseudomonadati; Spirochaetota; Spirochaetia; Treponematales; Treponemataceae. The record is from RNAcentral.